This 513-nucleotide ribosomal RNA is filed under the name uncultured bacterium. Its description in RNAcentral is "partial 16S ribosomal RNA". It matches the Rfam family "Bacterial small subunit ribosomal RNA", at positions 28 to 523 of the family's 1533-position model. The record is from RNAcentral.
GACGAACGCUGGCGGCAUGCCUAAUACAUGCAAGUCGAGCGAACAGAUGAAGUGCUUGCACUUCUGACGUUAGCGGCGAACGGGCGAGUAACACGUAAGGAAUCUACCUAUAAGCGGGGGAUAACAUUCGGAAACGGGUGCUAAUACCGCAUAAUAUUUUCUUCCGCAUGGAAGAAAAUUGAAAGACGGCUCUGCUGUCACUUAUAGAUGACCUUGCGGUGCAUUAGUUAGUUGGUGGGGUAACGGCCUACCAAGACGAUGAUGCAUAGCCGACCUGAGAGGGUGAUCGGCCACAUUGGGACUGAGACACGGCCCAAACUCCUACGGGAGGCAGCAGUAGGGAACCUUCCGCAAUGGGCGAAAGCCUGACGGAGCAAUGCCGCGUGAGUGAAGAAGGCCUUCGGGUCGUAAAACUCUGUUAUAAGAGAAGAACAAAUUGUAGAGUAACUGCUACAGUCUUGACGGUAUCUUAUCAGAAAGCCACGGCUAACUACGUGCCAGCCGCCGCGGUAA